GUUACUGCUGGGCCGGUUGGGCCGUGCCCGGUGCCGGUGCCGGUGCCGGUGCCGGUGCCGGUGCCGGUGCCGGGCUGUCCGGCAUCA
RNAcentral lists this transfer RNA (87 nucleotides) under Ralstonia thomasii. RNAcentral describes it as "Ralstonia sp. LMG 18095 tRNA-His". Lineage: Bacteria; Pseudomonadati; Pseudomonadota; Betaproteobacteria; Burkholderiales; Burkholderiaceae. The record is from RNAcentral.